CAGAAGUCAGGUCGGAUUAAGCCAUAGUACGGAAAAAACUAUGCUACCUGUGAGCCCCGUCCAAGGACGUAAAAAGAAGUCAGGCCACUACAAGUGCCAUAGCUUGAGUAAACUAUGCAGCCUGUAGCUCCACCUGAGGUGGUGC
Molecule: long non-coding RNA, 145 nt
Filed under: dengue virus type 2
Lineage: Riboviria; Orthornavirae; Kitrinoviricota; Flasuviricetes; Amarillovirales; Flaviviridae
Description: Dengue virus type 2 partial sfRNA1
Source: RNAcentral